Molecule: long non-coding RNA, 761 nt
Organism: Gadus morhua (Atlantic cod)
Lineage: Eukaryota; Metazoa; Chordata; Actinopteri; Gadiformes; Gadidae
Exons: 3
Source: RefSeq, a predicted model, not a curated record
ACAGACACUUCUGAGGAAGAUGGCUCUCAUACUCCAGGGCUGUUUUCCAAUUACUGCACAGCCUUUCUUCAUGGCCAGGUUUAGGGGUGGACGCUGCGGAGGAGAGUUCUGCUUUUCUCUCUCUGUGUCCGUGUAAGGCCUUCACCCGUAGGACGCCUGGGUCGAUGCAGGAGGACGACGCUUUGAUGCAGAUGUUGUAUCAUGCGACGGGUAGUAUGGUGUCUGGUGUGUGUACGUGUGUGUGUGGGGAUGUGUGUGUCCGUUUGUCCGCAUGUGUGUCCUUGUACGUUGUAAACGUCUGCAUAUUUCCAUAUCUCCAUAUCGCAGCUUGUGUGCCAACUUAUCUUUUUGACAAUGACAAACUCCUAUCUGCUAACUCGCAGCCAUAAAUCCUGAUUUCAGAUAUCCUCCAUUGUUCCACUGACAUAGGAAGUAGGGCUGCUCGACAUACAGUACAUCCACCUUAACAUUAUACUCCCUCUCUCUUUUUCUCUUUCUCUCUCUCUCGCCCUCUCUCUCCACGCUAGAAACAGAUGGCUGGGGACGAUCUUCCAAUGUGGUAGAAAACCAACUAAUUGCUUUGAGUUGCCACAGUCGCUGCUGCUGUGAAAGACGUGAGGGCGGAAGAGUGGGAGAGGAGGACCUACUGGAUCUGCAGCCAUCACGCCUUCCCUAGCUUGAAACAGUGGUUCAUAGAAUAAGUUUGGAAAAAUGUGAAAUGCUAGCACAUAACCUCUCCAUGUACUGUAGAUUGCCCUAUG